GCCUUCAUGGUGUAGUGGUCAGCACGCUGGGCUCGUAUUCCAGAGGUCUGUGGUUUGAGUCCCGGCGAAGGCA
Molecule: non-coding RNA, 73 nt
Organism: Stegodyphus mimosarum
Lineage: Eukaryota; Metazoa; Arthropoda; Arachnida; Araneae; Eresidae
Source: Rfam